Molecule: long non-coding RNA, 2032 nt
Organism: Ziziphus jujuba (common jujube)
Lineage: Eukaryota; Viridiplantae; Streptophyta; Magnoliopsida; Rosales; Rhamnaceae
Exons: 3
Source: RefSeq, a predicted model, not a curated record
AAAGCCUAUUGCUAUUGAAUAUUAUCUUGGUAUCCGAGCUUGAAAAGAUAAACAUCUAUUAUGUCUCUUUCAAUUGCUCCUGGGGAUUCACCUUGUGUUCCUUCGACCACCCAAGCAUUUGUUCCCCAUCUGCUACACCUUUUUCCUAAUAUUUUUAGCUACAAUCUUUCUAUAAAACUUGAUCAAAAGAACUUCUUCUUGUGGAACAGGUGCUGCUAAAUCUUCGUUAAAAUAAGUUAGAAGUCUUCAUCAAUGGCGUUAAGUUGUGCCCUUCGGAGUAUGUUUCCCUCACUAAUGGUUAAACUAAUAAUAGUGGCUCUACUUCAGUUACACCGUCAACUCAGAUUUCACACAUUUGGUCUAGCUUAACCAAUAUGGAUGCAUUUGUCCUGAGUCAAGUUCUCAAUUAUACUGCCACUUUUUAUCCUUGGCGAGCUCUUGAGCUCCUUUGCACUUCUCAAUCUAGAGCUCACAUCCUCAUAUUUAAAAUACAACUGCAAUUCAUAAAGAAGGGGUUAUCUAGCACCAAUGACUACAUAGUGCGCAUUAAGAAUGCUGAAAAUACUCUAGCAACUGCUAGGGACCUAUUUGAUGAACAAGACCUUAUUCUUUAUAUACUAAUAGGUUUUGGGUUUGAAUAUGACCCAAACGGUGCAAGCUUUACUUCUUAACCAUGUGACAAGGUUAGAAUAGCUCAACUCAGUUGUGGCUCCUGUUAACUUUGCUGCUGCAAAUUUGAUUGUGCACAGCAAUGGUCAAAAUAGCGGAAACAACAACAACAACAAUUAUUUAGAAAGAGGCAACCACUCUUUCAAUGGUAGAGGUGGAACUCAUGGAGGUGCACCACAAAGGGGUCAUGGUUGUAGAAGGGGUGACGCUAGAAGGAAUACUGGACCUAUAUGUCAAAUAUGCUGAAAGCCAAGACACAUUGUCACUUCAUGUUAUCUCUAUUUUGAUCAUUCCAUUCAUGGUCCUGGAGUAAACCAAAUGACCACUUACGCUACUCCUGAAAUUGUAGCAGUUACUUCCUAGUUUGUUGACAGUGGCGCCACUCAUCACAUGGCAUGAAUCUAGCCAAUCUUGAACAACACAGCUCCUAUCGUGGCCAUGAGAGACUGACCACUGGUAAUGGUAAAGGCUAUAGCAUAGAACACAAGGUUAUCAUGGCUUACUUUCUAGUGGACCAGUCUACAUCUCCCGUGACCAAAUGAUGAUCUAUCCAAUGGCUAGACGUGAACAAUGCCUUCUUAAAUGGUUUUCUUCAUGAUACUGUGUUCAUGUCUCAGCUUGAAGGCUUCAUUGAUCCCUCCAAACCCACCCAUGUUCGUUGAUUACAUAAGGCCAUCUAUGGUUUUAAGCAAGCACCGCGAGCAUGGUUUGAUAGACUUUGAUCCACUUUAGUUGCCAUAGGCUUCACCAAUGCCAAAUCUGAUGCAUCUCUGUUUAUGUAUAAUUUUUGUCCACGGUUGAUCCGUUUUCUUGCCUAUGUGGAUGAUAUUUUGGUAACUAGGAAUGAUACCACCUUUAUUCAACAGCUAAUUAGUGAGUGAACUCUCUUUCAAGGCUCCCUUUCAAGGCUCCCUUUUUGCCUUGAAAGACUUUGCAUUGAUGGCCUUAUUUUGUCUCAGUCAAAAUACAUUCUUGAUCUGCUAAAUAGAACUAACAUGUGUGAUUGUAAACUUUCUGAUACUCCGACAUGUACUAGCAGCUGUUUGUCUACAACAUUUGGGGAACUUUUCUCAAAUCCUUCUCUCUUUAGAAGCACCAUUGGGGCCCUUCAAUAACUUACUUUUACUUGGCCAUAGAUAGCUUUUAUAGUCAAUCAACUAAGUCAAUUUUUGAAAGAGCCUCAUCUUCCUCGUUAGUAGAUGCAAGCAUGUUCUCAGACACUUGAAAAGGAUAUCUCAAUUUGGUCUUCACAUCGGACCAGCUUUUCAUCAUGUGUUAAUUGCAUAUGCAACUUUUCAUCUUCACAAAAACUUUAUCUCUUUUUUGUUUUACUAAACUUUGAUCUGAGCUCACCAUUGCAUGU